RNAcentral lists this long non-coding RNA (480 nucleotides) under Gossypium barbadense (sea-island cotton). RNAcentral describes it as "long non-coding RNA (GBAR_LNC019186)". The record is from RNAcentral. Lineage: Eukaryota; Viridiplantae; Streptophyta; Magnoliopsida; Malvales; Malvaceae.
AAAAAUGGCCUCUCAGGGGUUGUCUGUCAUGACCCACAUGCAGAUGAUUCACCUUCAGCACCGAGUGUGUCCAAACCACUAUACACUAUUUCAUCCAAAUCCUCAAGAUGAGAAUGAAGAGCUCCCGGGCGAUGACCCACCUAGACAUGCCAACCCAACUCAACCUAUUCUUCUUGCUAGUCACUUCGUUGUUAUGCAUACAGUUACACUUGAGGACAUCUAUCGCCUAGAGCAGCAGCAGUCAGAAUGGAUCGACCACUUUUAGCAGUGGCAUUUAGAGCACUUCGGUCAACUUCAACGCCAGCAGGAUCGCAUCGAGGCCUAUCUUCAGCAAAUGUGCUAGCAUUUUCAUAUUUCUUCACUUGAUCCUCCUGUUGUACCUGCGCCUCUUAGUGACUUUAUCUAGUUUUAUGUUUUAUUUAUUUUUCUUGUUAUUUUUAUUUGUACUUUUAUUUUUAUUAUUUUUAUUUUAUUUUUCAG